This 253-nucleotide ribosomal RNA is filed under the name uncultured bacterium. RNAcentral describes it as "partial 16S ribosomal RNA". It matches the Rfam family "Bacterial small subunit ribosomal RNA", at positions 524 to 776 of the family's 1533-position model. The record is from RNAcentral.
UACGUAGGUGGCAAGCGUUAUCCGGAAUUAUUGGGCGUAAAGAGCGCGCAGGUAGUUAAUUAAGUCUGAUGUGAAAGCCCACGGCUUAACCGUGGAGGGUCAUUGGAAACUGGUUGACUUGAGUGCAGAAGAGGGAUGUGGAAUUCCAUGUGUAGCGGUGAAAUGCGUAGAGAUAUGGAGGAACACCAGUGGCGAAGGCGGCUUCCUGGUCUGCAACUGACACUGAGGCGCGAAAGCGUGGGGAGCAAACAGG